This 28-nucleotide small RNA is filed under the name Bombyx mori (domestic silkworm). Its description in RNAcentral is "ovarian small RNA-6649". Lineage: Eukaryota; Metazoa; Arthropoda; Insecta; Lepidoptera; Bombycidae. The record is from RNAcentral.
UAUGCUUAGGAACUGCUUUCACUCGCAU